UACGGAGGGUGCAAGCGUUAUCCGGAUUCACUGGGUUUAAAGGGUGCGUAGGUGGGUUGUUAAGUCCGUGGUGAAAUCUCCGAGCUUAACUCGGAAACUGCCGUGGAUACUAUCAAUCUUGAAUACUGUGGAGGUAAGCGGAAUAUGUCAUGUAGCGGUGAAAUGCUUAGAUAUGACAUAGAACACCGAUAGCGGAGGCAGCUUGCUACACAGUCAUUGACACUGAGGCACGAAAGCGUGGGGAUCAAACAGG
RNAcentral lists this ribosomal RNA (253 nucleotides) under uncultured bacterium. RNAcentral's name for it is "partial 16S ribosomal RNA". It matches the Rfam family "Bacterial small subunit ribosomal RNA", at positions 524 to 776 of the family's 1533-position model. The record is from RNAcentral.